GAUGAACGCUGGCGGCGUGCUUACCCUUUGCAAGUCAAACGAACCUUCGGGUUAGUGGCAAACGGGUGAGUAACGCGUGAAAAUCUGCCCUCAGGAGGGGGAUAACGGCUGGAAACGGCCGCUAAUACCCCAUAUGCCGCGAGGUGAAAUGAAAUUCGCCUGAGGAUGAGCUCGCGUCUGAUUAGCUAGUUGGUGGGGUAAGAGCCUACCAAGGCAUCGAUCAGUAGCUGGUCUGAGAGGAUGAUCAGCCACACUGGGACUGAGACACGGCCCAAACUCCUACGGGAGGCAGCAGUGGGGAAUUUUCCGCAAUGGGCGAAAGCCUGACGGAGCAACGCCGCGUGAGGGAUGAAGGCCUCUGGGCUGUAAACCUCUUUUAUCAAGGAAAAAAAUCUGACGGUACUUGAUGAAUAAGCCACGGCUAAUUCCGUG
RNAcentral lists this ribosomal RNA (432 nucleotides) under uncultured bacterium. RNAcentral describes it as "bacterial SSU rRNA". It matches the Rfam family "Bacterial small subunit ribosomal RNA", at positions 28 to 507 of the family's 1533-position model. The record is from RNAcentral.